AUGAGGGUUUCCGGUAUGCCACUGUGGCUGGAGGGAACUGUGCUGGCUGCCUACUCAGAACUGGCAGGGCCCUUCGGAGUGGGGAGCAGCCACUACGGUACCUGUGGUCACUGGGGGCUGAUGUGUACCCAGGGGGACCUGGGGCCCCUUGCAAGACGGCCUCAGCUUCAUGAGGAUGGGAGGCUUAUGCUAGGCAGCUGCAGGCCACCCUCAGCCCGUAUCAUCGGAAAACGUGACCUCCAAAAGCCACCAUUACGGAGAAGCUUCAUGGCUAGUUUGGCUGAGCCAGGCCCCCACUUCACUGCACUCCUUCCAGAAGGGUGGCUUCGGGCUGCACAGGCACCUCCAGGAGGCCUUCAAAAACCCACACGAGGCAAGGAAGGGAGCCAUCCAGGAAGGAGCCCAGAGGGGUUCCACCAUUCUACUGGCUGCCCUCCUGGUCCGAUGCAGGAUUCUUCACCUGUAGGAAAUAGAGAAACAGGACUCUGGCCAGGAGGGCCGAGAGGCAUGGCAUGGCUAGGAAAGGGAAGCCUGUCUGCCAACAUCUCCCCUCAACCCCGUGUCUCUUUCUCGGCAGGUUUGCCCGCUCAGUGCUACUCUAGAUUCUUCCUGAGGCCUGGGAACCCAGAACCACCAAAGCAGUCCCUUCAUCCAGCCCAAUAUUUUCCCAGAUGUGACUCAGGCCUGGACAGCAGUAAGGACUUUGCGGAGCCCAGCAGUCCAGGGGGCGGAGCCAGACAGGUGGAGGAAGGGAAGCUUGUUCCUGCCAGCCCCUCAGCAUCCUGGACCUUGCAGAGGUGGCCCAAACACAUGGGGCUUGGCCCACCUCACGGAUUAUCAAGAAGGGAGGAGAAUGUGGUAGGGCAGGGAACACUGGGGCCCUUGAAUGCUACCCAAAGGGCUAUCAUCAGACCAUCACAUCCUGGUUUGGAUGUUUUCCGUCCAGGAAGGUCCAUGAGCUCCAGCUUCCCUGGGGAGCAUGGUACACCACAAUGUGUGGGAGCAGGGCCAGGAAAAAGGCCAGUUUUAACCGAUUCUGGGGCCUCUGGCAAGGGGUCUGGGACCAUGAGGCACACCUGUGACAUUCUGCAGUGCUCAAAGCCCGCCUCCCAGCUUCCAGGACAUGAUUGUAUUUCAGCCCAGAACUAG
This 1149-nucleotide long non-coding RNA is filed under the name Canis lupus familiaris (dog). RNAcentral describes it as "lncRNA (ENSCAFG00030002976.1)". Lineage: Eukaryota; Metazoa; Chordata; Mammalia; Carnivora; Canidae. The record is from RNAcentral.